This 284-nucleotide ribosomal RNA is filed under the name Leptocylindrus danicus. RNAcentral's name for it is "partial Eukaryotic small subunit ribosomal RNA". It matches the Rfam family "Eukaryotic small subunit ribosomal RNA", at positions 354 to 635 of the family's 1831-position model. Lineage: Eukaryota; Bacillariophyta; Leptocylindrophyceae; Leptocylindrales; Leptocylindraceae. The record is from RNAcentral.
AACGGGUAACGGGGAAUUAGGGUUCGAUUCCGGAGAGGGAGCCUGAGAAACGGCUACCACAUCCAAGGAAGGCAGCAGGCGCGCAAAUUACCCACUCCCGGAACGGGGAGGUAGUGACGAAAAAUAACGAUACGGGACUCAUCCGAGGCCCCGUAAUCGGAAUGAGAACACUUUAAAACCUUUAAACGAGGAUCAAUUGGAGGGCAAGUCUGGUGCCAGCAGCCGCGGUAAUUCCAGCUCCAAUAGCGUAUAUUAAAGUUGUUGCAGUUAAAAAGCUCGUAGUU